RNAcentral lists this small nuclear RNA (192 nucleotides) under Amphimedon queenslandica. RNAcentral describes it as "U2 spliceosomal RNA". It matches the Rfam family "U2 spliceosomal RNA". Rfam says of the family: U2 is a small nuclear RNA (snRNA) component of the spliceosome (involved in pre-mRNA splicing). Complementary binding between U2 snRNA (in an area lying towards the 5' end but 3' to hairpin I) and the branchpoint sequence (BPS) of the intron results the bulging out of an unpaired adenosine, on the BPS, which initiates a nucleophilic attack at the intronic 5' splice site, thus starting the first of two transesterification reactions that mediate splicing. The record is from Rfam by way of RNAcentral. Lineage: Eukaryota; Metazoa; Porifera; Demospongiae; Haplosclerida; Niphatidae.
AUCGCUUCUCGGCCUACUGGCUAAGAUCAAGUAGAAAUAACUGUUCUUUUGAGUUUAAUCGCUCAAACUCUGCCCACUGGGUGGAAAGACGAUUGCUCUAUUUCUUUUCACACUGAUAGUGCUCAAGGCUUGCUUUGACCUAUCGUGGGAUCACACCUGUAUUGCACUACAGCAGGGAGUGGUCCCUUUUUA